RNAcentral lists this ribosomal RNA (253 nucleotides) under uncultured bacterium. RNAcentral describes it as "partial 16S ribosomal RNA". It matches the Rfam family "Bacterial small subunit ribosomal RNA", at positions 524 to 776 of the family's 1533-position model. The record is from RNAcentral.
UACGUAGGGGGCUAGCGUUGUCCGGAAUCAUUGGGCGUAAAGAGCGUGUAGGCGGCCCGGUAAGUCCGCUGUGAAAGUCGGGGGCUCAACCCUCGAAUGCCGGUGGAUACUGUCGGGCUAGAGUGCGGAAGAGGCGAGUGGAAUUCCUGGUGUAGCGGUGAAAUGCGCAGAUAUCAGGAGGAACACCAAUUGCGAAGGCAGCUCGCUGGGACGUAACUGAAGCUGAGACGCGAAAGCGUGGGGAGCAAACAGG